AUACGGAGGGUGCGAGCGUUAAUCGGAAUUACUGGGCGUAAAGCGUACGUAGGCGGUUAGUUAAGUUAGAUGUGAAAGCCCCGGGCUUAACCUGGGAACUGCAUUUAAAACUGGCUAACUAGAGUUAAGUAGAGGGGAGUGGAAUUUCAGGUGUAGCGGUGAAAUGCGUAGAGAUCUGAAGGAACACCAGUGGCGAAGGCGACUCCCUGGACUUGAACUGACGCUGAGGUACGAAAGCGUGGGUAGCAAACGGGAUUAGAAACCCUAGUAGUCC
Molecule: ribosomal RNA, 274 nt
Filed under: uncultured bacterium
Lineage: Bacteria
Description: partial 16S ribosomal RNA
Rfam family: Bacterial small subunit ribosomal RNA
Source: RNAcentral